Molecule: non-coding RNA, 94 nt
Organism: Oleoguttula mirabilis
Lineage: Eukaryota; Fungi; Ascomycota; Dothideomycetes; Mycosphaerellales; Teratosphaeriaceae
Source: the annotation of a GenBank genome assembly
GCGUUGGUGGUUUAGUGGUAAAAUUAGCCGUUGCCACAGUUCUUCCGAGAACAACAACAUCGGCUAGCCCCGGGUUCGAUUCCCGGCCGACGCA